Molecule: ribosomal RNA, 284 nt
Filed under: uncultured bacterium
Lineage: Bacteria
Description: partial 16S ribosomal RNA
Rfam family: Bacterial small subunit ribosomal RNA
Source: RNAcentral
UGCGAGCGUUAAGUACGGAAUUACGUGGGACGUAAAGCGCAUGCAGGCGGCCGUGUUAAGUCAGAUGUAGAAAGGCCCGGGGGACCUUUAACCCGUACGGUAAAGUUGCUAUUUAGAAACGUGGCGAGGCUAGAGUCUUGUAGGAGGGGGGUAGGAAUUUCAGGUGUAGCGGUGAAAUGCGUAGAGAUCUGAAGGAAUACCAGUGGCGAAGGCGGCCCCCUGGACAAAGACUGACGCUCAGAUGCGAAAGCGUGGGGAGCAAACAGGAUUAGAUACCCUGGUAG